This 344-nucleotide ribosomal RNA is filed under the name uncultured eukaryote. RNAcentral describes it as "SSU rRNA". It matches the Rfam family "Eukaryotic small subunit ribosomal RNA", at positions 567 to 918 of the family's 1831-position model. The record is from RNAcentral.
CCAGCAGCCGCGGUAAUUCCAGCUCCAAUAGCGUAUAUUUAAGUUGUUGCAGUUAAAAAGCUCGUAGUUGGAUUUCGGGUGGGUGCGAGCGGUCGGCCUUUGGUCAGUACUGCCCGCGCCUACCUUUCUGCCGGGGACGUGCUCCUGGGCUUCACUGUCCGGGACACGGAAUCGGCGAGGUUACUUUGAGUAAAUUAGAGUGUUCAAAGCAAGCCUACGCUCUGAAUACAUUAGCAUGGAAUAACACGAUAGGACUCUGGCUUAUCUUGUUGGUCUGUAAGACCGGAGUAAUGAUUAAGAGGGACAGUCGGGGGCAUUCGUAUUUCAUUGUCAGAGGUGAAAUU